AACGAACGCUGGCGGCAGGCCUAAAACAUGCAAGUCGAACGAACCUUCGGGUUAGUGGCGCACGGGUGAGUAACACGUGGGAACGUACCCUUUGGUGCGGAACAACGUCUGGAAACGGACGCUAAUACCGCAUAAUAUCUACGGAUCAAAGAUUUAUCGCCAAAGGAACGGCCCGCGUUAGAUUAGGUAGUUGGUAGGGUAAUGGCCUACCAAGCCUACGAUCUAUAGCUGGUUUGAGAGGAUGAUCAGCCACACUGGGACUGAGACACGGCCCAGACUCCUACGGGAGGCAGCAGUUAGGAAUAUUGGACAAUGGGGGAAACCCUGAUCCAGCCAUGCCGCGUGUGUGAAGAAGGCCUUAGGGUUGUAAAGCACUUUCAUCUGCGAAGAUAAUGACAGUAACAGAAGAAGAAGCUCCGGCUAAAUUCGUGCCAGCCGCCGCCGUAA
Molecule: ribosomal RNA, 447 nt
Filed under: uncultured bacterium
Lineage: Bacteria
Description: partial 16S ribosomal RNA
Rfam family: Bacterial small subunit ribosomal RNA
Source: RNAcentral